UAAACUCAUUUUCAUAAAAUUUCACCACAACCGAUUAAAAACAUACUUUAGAUAAUUAAAAUGAUGGUAAGGUUACUCACAGCACUAGGAGUUUGAUAUACUCCUAUUCCCGGUCUUUGGGCACAAUCUCGUUACCCUUGUUAGAGGGCUCACCACCUAUACAUUAUACGUGACACGAAUUUCAAUAAAUUGUGUCAAUUUAUUAUAAACUAUUUCAGGCUCUGUAAAUCUAAAUGAAUGCAUGCGAUGGGAUGCAAAAUGUCCGAUUAAUCACUUAAAUGUGAUAUUCGACCUAAGUCACACUAUACUCGGUCUAAUCGACUAAAAUCUCCAAUUUCACUCCAAAUCAAUUCUUCUCACUUUUUACACUCCAAUUAUACCUAAAUUGCCUCAGUGACUGUGAAUGAGAUUCAAUUUAUUAGUCCCAGGUCAAUAAUCACACAUGUCUAUACGUUAAGCAAAAAUUCAAAUUUUCACACCAAAAUUUCCCAUUUAAUUUCUAGCCUCACCAAACAUCAAAUAUCACAAAAAUAUCAUGAAAUAUCAUCAAUUUCAGCCGCAAUAUCCUCCCUAGAAAAUUCGGCCAAUGAUGGGUAAUGGGAGAAAUUGAAUUUUUCUUGUUGGUUUGUUUCUAGACAUGAUAAACUAACUAAAAACACUAACAUAACUUAGAAUCAAAUCAAUCCAACUUCAUUCUCUCUCCAUACCCAUUCCAACCAGCCAUGAAUUCACCAUGAAAACAUGAAAUCUAACCAUGGAAAAUGGAAAAGAAAGCAUGGGUAGUGUAAAUCACAAGUCAAAAUCAAGAAAUUUUACCUUUAUUAGCUUAAUCCCUUGAAAUCCCCCACUUUUUCUUCAAUUUUUCCACCUAGGGUUCUUGUUUUUUUCCCUUUCCUCCUUUGUUCUUCUUUGGCCGGC
RNAcentral lists this long non-coding RNA (918 nucleotides) under Theobroma cacao (cacao). RNAcentral's name for it is "long non-coding RNA (TCAC_LNC004921)". The record is from RNAcentral. Lineage: Eukaryota; Viridiplantae; Streptophyta; Magnoliopsida; Malvales; Malvaceae.